Molecule: long non-coding RNA, 669 nt
Organism: Electrophorus electricus (electric eel)
Lineage: Eukaryota; Metazoa; Chordata; Actinopteri; Gymnotiformes; Gymnotidae
Source: RefSeq, a predicted model, not a curated record
GGAGACUGUAAUGCUGUAAUGCUGUCUGCUGUUGACGUGCCGGGAACAGAAGGAACUCGUGUGACCUGCAAGUGACUGGCUACGGAUUGCACCUGUUCUACCGCAACUGGGAGCCCAUUGGCCCGCCGAAGGUGGUGCAAUCUGUAUUUUGACAGCAUGCCACAGGAUUUUGCUGGUAUUGUUUUGAUUAGCCUCAUGAUCCAAACGAACCCUGAGCCUGUGACACCCUUUAAGGUGGAGUUCACCUGAGAUCAGGUUUCCCGCUCACCUGUCCCUGGAUCAUUCUCUAUCACCAUGAGGUCUCUUACGUAUGUGUGCCUGAUAAAAGAAACCCUCACCUUCCCCAAGUUGUCUUGCACCAGACAUGGUCCUGAUACACUCUUAUUCACCAAAUCCAAACUGGACAACUUCAUAUUUGCUCAAGCAGCUCGACUAUCUCUCAUCGCGUUAGGUUAUUGAAUAUUUCUGUUCAUAUAAUUCAUAUCAUUAUGCUGUCCUGUGUUGACCAGAAGAGGAUGGCUUCCCCCUUUGAGUCUUGCUUUCUCUUGAUGUUUCUUCCUCUAAUGCCCAGGGUGUCCGUUUGGGCUUAGACCCGGACAUGUGUAAAGCUGUUUUGUGACAACAGCUUUUGUAAACAUACUAUAUAAAUAAACUUUGAUUGGCUGAUUA